Molecule: ribosomal RNA, 492 nt
Filed under: uncultured bacterium
Lineage: Bacteria
Description: partial 16S ribosomal RNA
Rfam family: Bacterial small subunit ribosomal RNA
Source: RNAcentral
AGUGAACGCUGGCGGUAGGCCUAACACAUGCAAGUCGAACGGCAGCACAGUAAGAGCUUGCUCUUACGGGUGGCGAGUGGCGGACGGGUGAGGAAUACAUCGGAAUCUACUUUUUCGUGGGGGAUAACGUAGGGAAACUUACGCUAAUACCGCAUACGACCUACGGGUGAAAGCAGGGGAUCUUCGGACCUUGCGCGAUUGAAUGAGCCGAUGUCGGAUUAGCUAGUUGGCGGGGUAAAGGCCCACCAAGGCGACGAUCCGUAGCUGGUCUGAGAGGAUGGUCAGCCCAAAUGGAACUGAGACAAGGUCCAGGCUCCUAAGGGAGGCAGCAGUGGGGAAUAUUGGACAAUGGGGGGAAGCCUGAUCCAGCCAUACCGCGUGGGUGAAGGAGGCCUUCGGGGUGGAAAGCCCUUUUGUUGGGAAAGAAAAGCAGCAGGUUAAUACCCCGCUGUUCUGACGGUACCCAAAGAAUAAGCACCGGCUAACUUCGUG